Molecule: ribosomal RNA, 484 nt
Filed under: uncultured bacterium
Lineage: Bacteria
Description: partial 16S ribosomal RNA
Rfam family: Bacterial small subunit ribosomal RNA
Source: RNAcentral
AUUGAACGCUGGCGGCAGGCCUAACACAUGCAAGUCGAGCGGAUGAAGGGAGCUUGCUCCUGGAUUCAGCGGCGGACGGGUGAGUAAUGCCUAGGAAUCUGCCUGGUAGUGGGGGAUAACGUCCGGAAACGGGCGCUAAUACCGCAUACGUCCUGAGGGAGAAAGUGGGGGUUCUUCGGACCUCACGCUAUCAGAUGAGCCUAGGACGGAUUAGCUAGUUGGUGGGGUAAAGGCCUACCAAGGCGACGAUCCGUAACUGGUCUGAGAGGAUGAUCAGUCACACUGGAACUGAGACACGGUCCAGACUCCUACGGGAGGCAGCAGUGGGGAAUAUUGGACAAAGGGCGAAAGCCUGAUCCAGCCAUGCCGCGUGUGUGAAGAAGGUCUUCGGAUUGUAAAGCACUUUAAGUUGGGAGGAAGAGCAGUAAGUUAAUACCUUGCUGUUUUGACGUUACCAACAGAAUAAGCACCGGCUAACUUCGUG